Molecule: ribosomal RNA, 253 nt
Filed under: uncultured bacterium
Lineage: Bacteria
Description: partial 16S ribosomal RNA
Rfam family: Bacterial small subunit ribosomal RNA
Source: RNAcentral
AACGUAGGAGACGAGCGUUAUCCGGAAUUACUGGGCGUAAAGCGCGUGUAGGCGGAAGUGUAAGUCUUUUGUGAAAGCUCCUGGCUAAACUGGGAGAGGUCGAAAGAUACUGCACAUCUGGAGUAUGGGAGAGGGGUGUGGAAUUCCGGGUGUAGUGGUGAAAUGCGUAGAUAUCCGGAGGAACACCAGUGGCGAAGGCGGCACCCUGGCCCAAGACUGACGCUAAGACGCGAAAGCAUGGGGAGCGAACGGG